This is a long non-coding RNA of Poeciliopsis prolifica (blackstripe livebearer), 280 nucleotides long. RefSeq lists it as uncharacterized. The transcript is spliced from 2 exons. Lineage: Eukaryota; Metazoa; Chordata; Actinopteri; Cyprinodontiformes; Poeciliidae. The record is from RefSeq and is a predicted model, not a curated record.
CCAGUGGGGCAAGGGCAACCAGAUAACUCUGGUGGAAAGGAACACUGCAUGGAGAUCUACGAGCUAGGAGACAUGAAUGAUGCACCAUGCACCACAAGGAGUUACUCCAUCUGUCCCAAAGACGCUAACUCCUCUUUCCUCUUCCUGAGAAAUCCAACAUGACCAUGUGACCUUCUCACUGGUGAUGUCACUUCCUCCAGGAUGUCAGGCCUCGAUGGCGUCGCUGCUGGAAGAUACAAGGAUAAAAUCUUUUUUCAAAUAAAUCUGUUGCAUCAAUAAA